UCCGGCUUUCACCGGCUGUCUCCUUAGAGAGCCCAACUUAAUGCUGGCAACUAAGGAUAAGGGUUGCGCUCGUUGCGGGACUGAACCCAACAUCUCACGACACGAGCUGACGACAACCAUGCACCACCUGUCUCCACUGUCCCGAAGGAAAGGACUAUCUCUAAUCCGGUCAGUGGGAUGUCAAGCCUUGGUAAGGUUCUUCGCGUUGCUUCGAAUUAAACCACAUGCUCCACCGCUUGUGCGGGCCCCCGUCAAUUCCUUUGAGUUUCAGCCUUGCGGCCGUACUCCCCAGGCGGAGUGCUUAUUGGGUUUCCUUCGGCACUGAGGACGUGAUGCCCCCAACACCUAGCACUCAUCGUUUACGGCGUGGACUAC
Molecule: unclassified non-coding RNA, 375 nt
Filed under: uncultured Caryophanales bacterium
Lineage: Bacteria; Bacillati; Bacillota; Bacilli; Caryophanales
Description: uncultured Bacillales bacterium contains 16S-23S intergenic spacer region
Source: RNAcentral